Non-coding RNA from Pelobates cultripes (western spadefoot toad), 201 nucleotides. The record is from the annotation of a GenBank genome assembly. Lineage: Eukaryota; Metazoa; Chordata; Amphibia; Anura; Pelobatidae.
GCAGCAUGUCAUGGUUUCAGGGAGGAUUUUACAUACUCCCCCUUUCUCAGCUAGAAUCAUAUCUAGGGCCAUUCUGUUCUGGAAUGUCAUUUGGGUAGUGGCUUGUAGUUGCUCUGCCAGGCCCUGUAGGGCAUCCCUUGUGUAGUUGACAAAGCGUUGCUGAUUAUAAUAGAUAUAGUUAAUCCAGUUGACAUUCUUGUU